Molecule: long non-coding RNA, 5854 nt
Filed under: Brassica napus (rape)
Lineage: Eukaryota; Viridiplantae; Streptophyta; Magnoliopsida; Brassicales; Brassicaceae
Description: long non-coding RNA (BNAP_LNC016660)
Source: RNAcentral
CGGAAAUAGCUGCUUUUACCGAAUCCUUCUUUGGGGAAGUGGCCAGACCCCAUUUGAGUCUUUGUAUGGCGGCUGAAAUUUUGCAAGUUUAAGAUUUCACCGCCCCAUUCCGCGAUGGUUGCGUAAUCAGCUAAGGUUGUGAAAAGUUCUUUCGGCCAGUAACCUACCAAUAAGUUACUGGGUCCCAAACUCAGCCACCAAUUCCCAUAUAUACGAUCCUAUCAAAACGAAUACAUAUAAAUGUUUAGGAAUUGAAACAUAUAGAAUUUUAAUAAGAAACAUAUAUAUAUGUAAAGCAGUGGGAAAAAGAAACGGACCUUCCAUACAAGUAUGGUAAUCUCGUAUUGACUACCUCCGAAAGAAGAAGUGGGAGAAAUAGCUCCACCAAGGACAAUACUGCUACUAGUUUGUAUAAAACCAGAGCAUCUUAGGUUAUAGCAUCCGUUCUUAUACGAAUCACUCUGUAAAAUGUUACAUUAUUGUUACCAACAAAAAUAAUAAACUAAUUCAAGUUCGUGUUAUUCUAGAUGGUUUUAAUUAAUGCAUUAAUACAAGCAAAACCAGUAGUAUGGAUGCUUUAAAACUCAGUUAAAGAUUAACAACUGGUUUUUUCUAUUUAGUGUUUUUUUCUAUUUAGUGUAAAUAUUUUUAAAUCAAAUAUAUAAUAAUGAUUAAACAUUAAAAUGUGAUUUAAAUUUUGUAGAAGAUUCAAAUUUUGUUUGCAAUUUGGGUCCUAACAAAAUUAAUUUGAAAAGUAUGUAGAGUUAGCCCUGAGAGUUGAAGGUCCAAAAGCCUAAUUAUUUUUCGGCCUUCAAAAAUAUGGAAAUCAAAAUAUCACGGGCCGGAAUAGAAUUUUACAAGGCCUUAAGCCCUUGUUCUGAUUUCUGUUCCAGGACGGGUCUGUAAGUAUGUGUUAAUUUUGAAAAUCUUAUUAUUCUUUUUAUUUAAGUUUUGUUAACUCCAUAUGUUUUAAAAGUUUCUUUUAAUAUUUGUAUAUAUAUAGAUAUUCUUGUAGUAAUUUUCCAACUCACAAUGUAAAAAUACGCCAAGGAGAGAGUAAUAAUCAAUUUAAAAAACCAAUUACAUUUAUUUUAAUAUAUUGAUUUGUUGCUUAACUUUUGAAAAAUGUACUGUAAAUAAAUUAAAUAUAAUCGAAUUUUUUAAAUGUCAUUUAAAUAUUUAAAUAUAUAUACAUAUUUAAAAUUAAAUCAAGAGAUUUUAUUUUGUAUAUUAUAACUUAAAUUAAGAGAUAUUAUUAAUUAAUGUAAUUUUGAAAACAUAUUUCACGAUAUUUGUAUCCACUUUAUUGUCCUCUAGUAUUGUUUUUUAUAUAUUGCAUAAUAUUUUUGUAUAGUAUAGAAACUAAAAAUAGUAUAAUAUCCACAAUAAACUUAUAAUAUUACUCCUUUAUUUUUUAUUUGUCACAGUACUCUUUGCUCAAAGUAAUACAGUUAUUGUAUUACCAAAAUAUUAAAUAAUAUUAAUAAUGUUCUAUAACAUAAAAUGCGAUAAAACUGAUAAAGAAACUUACUGUCCAAAAAAUAAAUAGCCUCGGUUUGUUAUCGCCAUACAACGUCGGAAGAACCUAAAUAUUUGAAUAAUGCAACCAUGUUAGUUUAUUAAUAAUAGUACGUAUAUAUUUGAUGAAAAUUAUAGAAACAUCCACAAUCAAAAAUUUAAACCAACCUGCCAGCCAACCUCUAGGGUGUUAAGGUCAUUAGUCUUAUAUUUUCCCGAGCUAAUCCAAAUCUGAGAUAUAGACAUCUCCUUUCCCUCUAUCGCCGGAUCCCAUACGUUAAUCGUGGCUUUUGCUCCGUAUAGUUCUGGUGGGCUUUUCUGACUUAUGAUCGCAUACUAUCAUUCGACACCAUAUAUAAUACGUAAUUAGAUGGUUGCUUGAAGACAAUGUCAAAAUUAAAAAAAAAAGCUAAUAAACACACAAAAUUCAGUGUACGUAGUUUUAAUUUCAACAGCUUUUGACUUGCUUUCUAAUUAAAAGAAAAUUUAAGGCAUAUCAAAAAUAAUAAAUAACUGAAUAAUUUUAGAAAACCAAGAACCAAGAGAACCUGAAAAAUCGGUUGCGCAUAUUAAUCAAUCUAACUAUCUAGAAUAGUUUUAUAAUAUACCUCAUGUCCACGAUUGUAACUGGUGAAAUCAGGCCCUGUCCGGUCAGUCUUACUGACACUGUAGUUCCGUACUGGUACGGUUCCUUCCGGACAGUUGACAGUACUAACUUGAGCUUCCCAAGUUUCCAGUUUGCUUUUCUUGUCUGCUUCGACUGUCCGAGGAAUUUCGGACGGCCAUUCCUGUUUUUUUUUCUCAAAAGCCAAAAAUAUUAUUAUUUUAUUUUAAAUAACAUUAACAUGGAAGUACAAAAUUAAAAAUGUAAAAAAUCAAGCGAACCUGAAUUUUAUGAUUUUUUAGUAAAGUGCUUUCAAAUGCUGGCUGCUUUAUUUUAUCCAUACAUUCGACAUCAUCUCCAUCCGAAGUCUGUUGAAGAUAAAUUUCACAAAUACAUAAAAGAUUAGUAUAAUUACUUUAGUUCAAAAAUUAAGUGUAUGAUAUAUGGACAUGUGGAUGCGGUGUUCAAACGGGGUAAAUGAAAAAAGAUUUUAAAAAAUUGACGCUGCAAUUUUUCAUUUCUUGAGUAUUUGUUUUUGGUUGGAAACACAUGCACAUACGAUGAUGACGGACAAAUAAUCCUAGUUUAAUAGCGGAUAAUUAAUUUCUACUAGUUUAAUAGUUGAUAUAACAUUAAAACUCGGUUGUUUUUUGUUUUUCAAAGAAGUUUAGGACAAAACUUUUAGAAUAGUGAACUGGAUCAGCAACAAAAGCCAUAUAAGUAAAGUAGAAACCUUAAUAGUAACUGCAACUUUGAUGAUGGCUAGAACAAGGAUGAAACGAAGAAUCUGCGGGAAAUCCAUUGUAGAAUCACAGCGCUCUCUAUCUUCUUUUCUCACAGGCGAUAUCUGGAAGUCAGCGUUUUCUCUCUCUCGAUAUCUCGCGUGAACUAUUGUCUCUUAUGUUUUGAUUACUCUCGCUCUCUUCUGUUUUUAAAGAGUUUUUUUUCUGAGUCGACGAAAGAAGAAUCCCAUGCAAAGAAGGCAUGUGUUCAUUAUAACGACCAAACAAGAAUGGUUUCUGUUUCUGGUAAGUGGUAACCGUGUGACGUUCAAGUAGAUAAUUUAUACAUGGGCCAUGUACAUCCGUUCUUUUCAAAAGAUCAGUUCUUUUCAAACGUUUAGAAAACAAUGGAUCCAAUGAAUUAGGCUAAAGUUAAAAAGUAAUAUUCAUUGGAAGGCCAGGGGCGUAGCCAGUGCAUGACCAAUGGCGGCACGUGCACCUGUGGAAGGCACACCGGCUCCAUCCGCAAACUCUAAAAACCAUGUGAGCAACUUACAAACAUCACACUAUAUAAUGAAAAUGAUAUAUGACCAAAAAAAGAAGAAAGUAACUGGAUACAUGACUCAUCAUUUAUGUCGAUUUAUCCUUAUUGCUUGAUUUCGAACUUCAUAAAAAUGUUCUUGUUUAAUUUCACACUUGAUUUGCUCUGGCUUAUUCCUUUUUUUAUUGUAAAGUACUAAAAUAGAUAACUCUCUCGUUCCCUUGGAAACAAAAUGUUUUGGGAAUAGCUUACUCGUGUUUAGAUUAUCUUUUCCUCACAUUUCUUUCUUUAACUUUUUGUGUGUUUUACGUUACAUAUAAUUAAUAACCAUGUUUUAACAAUACAUAUAAUUAAUAACCAUGUUUUAACAAAAAAAAGCCUUGUCUACUAAGAAAUACCCUAUUUGGUCUACAACAUGAACUAAAGUGUAAAAGACAAUAAUCUAAAACUUCAACUUGAUCCACUCCAUAAACCACAUACGAUUUCAUGAUAUUUCAAUACUUAUAUGUUUUGUAGACGUUAGAAAAUUCAACAUCUACAUAGGCUCCACUAGAAAAUAAUUAGUCACAUAAAAUCACAAGUUAGUUUACUCCACGUAAAGUAAUUCUUUUUUGUUUGCAGAAAUAUUUACAUUUAAGUUCGUCUACGAUACGAUUAAACAUGUCUACAUUAACUAGAUACUUAUCAAAAGAAAGUUAGAUUAAACAAAUAUUAGUUAGAAGAUUUCAAACUCGGUUCACUCUCACUGUAUAGACAUUUUUUAACAAUAGGUCCUAAAUUUAAUUUGGUCCAUGAUAUAACUGAUAAACUAAAGAUAUCUAAUAAACCCAAAUAAUUUAGAAUUGAUAUACAAGAGGAGCUAACUUCGUCAAACAAGACAAAAUGCUUAAAUAUGCUUUAUUUUAAUGUAAAAUAUAAUUCCUAUGAAAUAUAUAACUUCCCCAGUGAUAAGAUUCAAUUUGUGAAGAAUUGUUUUUCAUAAAAAGUAAUUACAACUCUUUUAAUAGAGAAGAUAUAUAUUCUUUUGAAGAAUAUAAAUCUAGAGUGUAAUUUAAAGGACAAAUGGGAAAAAGGUAGGAAAGAAGAGGAAAAGUUGUCUCAGAUAGUUGUGGGUCUUGUAAAGAGACUACGCGAUAGCCAUAGCUCAAAACAACAAUAACAACAAAGAUUGCACAUUUCUCCUCAACUACUUCACUCUCAAUUAUGUUCAUCUUUGCUAUUACAUCCACUACUACAUCUACGUUAUGUUCAUCUUUGUCUACAUUAAUGAUGUGAAUGUUCCUCCAACAUCCACUACUGCAUCCACCCCCAAAGAUUGCCAUUUUAGGUCGUUUGUUUUUCUUAAAACUACAAUUCUGUAAUUUUUAGUAUUUCUAAAGCCACAUUCAACAUUUUAACAGUAAAACUAUAAAUUUCAAACUAAAAAACCUUGACAGCAAAAUACAAGUCUCAAACAAUCGGACCAUAAUGUCGACAAUCAUUUUGCCUCUCUGUUAAAUACUAGCUCAGAUAACGAAUCACAACACAUCAUAAUAUUAGAUCAAAUGGUAUAAUAUUUUAUCGUCUCGCAAGUUUAGUGACAAAACAUAAUGCCAUUUACUACUACCAAUUGGAUCCGGUUAAGUCAAGUAAAUUUGACCAAUUUGGUUUGGUUAUUGGUUACUCUAACGGUUUAACAAAUCUAUAUUAAACUAACCGUUUAGCAAUCGAAAACUUUGACCUUUGAUAGGUAAUAACGUUGAAAGAAACGACCAGAAGAGCGAGAUCGUCCGAUCUCGACUAUGAACAACAAUAACCAGCAUCAGCUUCUGAACAGCUUAGCUUCUUAUUAAUCAACUUUUAUAAGAUCUACUUUAGUGUUGUUUCUAUAGUAGAUCCCAAUCAACUUUUUGGGUAUCCUAAAAUUAAUUUGGUUUCCAGAUAAGUGUAUGUUGUCCCUUAGAUUUUAAAAAAAUCCCCAAUAAAAUUAUUCUAAAAAGAACAAACAGUUGGAACUUAUAAGUCAAGAAGAAGAUAGAAAGAAAAAGAAAAACACUUAAUGAAUUAUUCUUGAUUGAUUCUCCGUUUGAAAAGUAACCAUGAGAGCCACUACAGGAAAAAAAGAGUUAAUAUCAGGUAUCAAACAAGACAAGAGUAUCGUUAAACAAAGAAACCACAAAGACAUUUAUUUACCUGCUUAGUGGAGUCAGGUAUGAACCUCACGACCGAGCAAAUAUCUGCCGUGAAAGGACUUGGCCUUUUUUUUAAAGUAGAAAAAGAUGUAAUCAGCAAACUAUAGUUUAUCCUUCUUUGGGGAAGUGGCCAGACCCCAUUUGAGUCUUUGUAUGGCGGCUGAAAUUUUGCAAGUUUAAGAUUUCACCGCCCCAUUCCGCGAUGGUUGCGUAAUCAGCUAAGGUUGUGAAAAGUUCUUUCGGCCAGUAACCUACCAAUAAGUUACUGGGUCCCAAACUCAGCCACCAAUUCCCAUAU